ACUCCUGCGGGAGGCAGCAGUGGGGAAUUUUGGACAAUGGGCGAAAGCCUGAUCCAGCAAUGCCGCGUGAGUGAAGAAGGCCUUCGGGUUGUAAAGCUCUUUUGUCAGGGAAGAAACGGUGAAAGCUAAUAUCUUUUGCUAAUGACGGUACCUGAAGAAUAAGCACCGGCUAACUACGUGCCAGCAGCCGCGGUAAUACGUAGGGUGCAAGCGUUAAUCGGAAUUACUGGGCGUAAAGCGUGCGCAGGCGGUUUUGUAAGUCUGAUGUGAAAUCCCCGGGCUCAACCUGGGAAUUGCAUUGGAGACUGCAAGGCUAGAAUCUGGCAGAGGGGGGUAGAAUUCCACGUGUAGCAGUGAAAUGCGUAGAUAUGUGGAGGAACACCGAUGGCGAAGGCAGCCCCCUGGGUCAAGAUUGACGCUCAUGCACGAAAGCGUGGGGAGCAAACAGGAUUAGAUACCCGUGUAGUCCCAUGAU
This 475-nucleotide ribosomal RNA is filed under the name uncultured organism. RNAcentral describes it as "partial 16S ribosomal RNA". It matches the Rfam family "Bacterial small subunit ribosomal RNA", at positions 335 to 801 of the family's 1533-position model. The record is from RNAcentral.